GAAGAUUACCCGCAGCUGGCACCUAGUUGCACCUUACCUGGAUAAAAUUUUUUCUAUCGAUGCUGCUGGUAAAAAGAGACCUGUCCAAGACAGCACUGAACGAACUAGUAUGGUGAAGAAGUUGCGACAUGAAGGUGAUGUUGAGGCUACUGAAAGGCCAGGUAACACAGAACAACACUGUGCUUGUUGUUGCAGAAAAGCGGUUAGUCUUUUAAGCAAAACAGAUAGGGUACACCCAAACAAUGUUCAUCUUCAGUCAUGCAUGAUCCUCGCAAGCUUUGGAUACUGACGUACAUUUGCAAACGCACUCAGACUGAUGACAUCAAGAAAUCUAUAUUUGUUAUUUACAUUAUAU
Long non-coding RNA from Biomphalaria glabrata, 355 nucleotides. RefSeq lists it as uncharacterized. The transcript has 2 exons. The record is from RefSeq and is a predicted model, not a curated record. Lineage: Eukaryota; Metazoa; Mollusca; Gastropoda; Planorbidae.